This 576-nucleotide ribosomal RNA is filed under the name uncultured eukaryote. Its description in RNAcentral is "SSU rRNA". It matches the Rfam family "Eukaryotic small subunit ribosomal RNA", at positions 203 to 784 of the family's 1831-position model. The record is from RNAcentral.
UAUUUAUUAGAUAAAAAACCAAUGCCCUUCGGGGCUCCUUGGUGAAUCAUAAUAACUUAACGAAUCGCAUGGCCUUGCGCCGGCGAUGGUUCAUUCAAAUUUCUGCCCUAUCAACUUUCGAUGGUAGGAUAGUGGCCUACCAUGGUAUCAACGGGUAACGGGGAAUUAGGGUUCGACUCCGGAGAGGGAGCCUGAGAAACGGCUACCACAUCCAAGGAAGGCAGCAGGCGCGCAAAUUACCCAAUCCCGACACGGGGAGGUAGUGACAAUAAAUACUGAUACAGGGCUCUUUUGGGUCUUGUAAUUGGAAUGAGUACAAUUUGAAUCCCUUAACGAGGAACAAUUGGAGGGCAAGUCUGGUGCCAGCAGCCGCGGUAAUUCCAGCUCCAAUAGCGUAUAUUAAAGUUGUUGCAGUUAAAAAGCUCGUAGUUGAACCUUGGGCCUGGCUGGCCGGUCCGCCUCACCGCGUGUACUGGUCCGGCCGGGCCUUUCCUUCUGGGGAACCUCAUGCCCUUCACUGGGCGUGUUGGGGAACCAGGACUCUUACUUUGAAAAAAUUAGAGUGUUCAAAGCAGG